This 345-nucleotide ribosomal RNA is filed under the name uncultured bacterium. RNAcentral's name for it is "bacterial SSU rRNA". It matches the Rfam family "Bacterial small subunit ribosomal RNA", at positions 28 to 372 of the family's 1533-position model. The record is from RNAcentral.
GACGAACGCUGGCGGCGUGCUUAACACAUGCAAGUCGAGCGGUAAGGCCCUUUCGGGGGUACACGAGCGGCGAACGGGUGAGUAACACGUGGGUGACCUGCCCUCAGCUCUGGGAUAAGCCUGGGAAACCGGGUCUAAUACUGGAUAUGACUCCAUGACGCAUGUUGUGGGGUGGAAAGCCUUGUGCGGCUGAGGAUGGGCCCGCGGCCUAUCAGCUUGUUGGUGGGGUGACNGGCCUACCAAGGCCGACGACGGGUAGCCGGCCUGAGAGGGCGACCGGCCACACUGGGACUGAGACACGGCCCAGACUCCUACGGGAGGCAGCAGUGGGGAAUCUCGCGCAAU